AUGGUGAUCGUAUUGAACUACGGUCACAUCUAUAAUCAAAAGAUGGGACUUUCGAUGACAGUUGUGCCUCAGUGGAUCGAGACAAAAGGUCGCAUGUCAAUGGUUAGCUUACGACCAAGAUUUCCUACAUUGCACAUGAGUGCAUUCAGGAUUUCUGAAAGCGAAGAAUGCUUAAUAGUGAAAGAUUGGAGCAAAAUUGUUAACGAUCGCAGAGAAGUACUAGGGGGCAGUAAGGAGAAGCGCAACCCAAGAUUAGGAGACAGAUUCAUCUGCAAGCUCCAGUAUGAUGAAUCAGGAGAGCUAUACAUGUUCUAUGCUAUUCUACCUGAGAGGGAGCAGCAGGAUCAGUAG
This 351-nucleotide ribosomal RNA is filed under the name Triticum aestivum (bread wheat). Its description in RNAcentral is "partial small subunit ribosomal RNA". The record is from RNAcentral. Lineage: Eukaryota; Viridiplantae; Streptophyta; Magnoliopsida; Poales; Poaceae.